GUCUCUACCAUGUGAGGACACAGUGAGAAGGCAGCUAUUUGCAAGCCAGGAAGAGAGCCAUCACCAAGAACUGAAUCUGCCAGCCCCUUCAUCUUGGAUUUCCCAGCCUCCAAAACUAGUGCAGACAUGAGUCCAGCAAGCAGUACCACGUCACUUCCUGUUAGUCCUCUUACUGAAGAGCCAGUGCCUUUCAAGACCACAUACCCUAGGGAAUUCUGAAAACCUGACUAACAUCAAUUGAAGAUUGGGGUUCAGGAGGCCUAGAUGAUCCACCAUGACUUAUUCAAAAGUUGAAGAUGAAAGGAAAGAAUAAAGACUCUUUCCAUCCAGUUCUCUAGUCUGAAAGGAAAAGAAAUAGGCAAAGGACAGUAGGCUUUUCUAUAUCAUUAUAUUCAUUCAAAUGAUUCUCUUAAAAUAAUAAUGAACUAAGGAGGCUCUGUAAGCAAGACAAACGGUCAGGAGGCCUCCUUGCUCCAAGAAUACUCCCUUUUUACUUUAUUAAAAUGGUUUGUAAAGGUAAACUAA
Molecule: long non-coding RNA, 525 nt
Filed under: Homo sapiens (human)
Lineage: Eukaryota; Metazoa; Chordata; Mammalia; Primates; Hominidae
Description: HSALNT0075013
Source: RNAcentral